UUAAGCGACUAAGCGUACACGGUGGAUGCCCUGGCAGUCAGAGGCGAUGAAGGACGUGCUAAUCUGCGAUAAGCGUCGGUAAGGUGAUAUGAACCGUUAUAACCGGCGAUUUCCGAAUGGGGAAACCCAGUGUGUUUCGACACACUAUCAUUAACUGAAUCCAUAGGUUAAUGAGGCGAACCGGGGGAACUGAAACAUCUAAGUACCCCGAGGAAAAGAAAUCAACCGAGAUUCCCCCAGUAGCGGCGAGCGAACGGGGAGCAGCCCAGAGCCUGAAUCAGUGUGUGUGUUAGUGGAAGCGUCUGGAAAGGCGCGCGAUACAGGGUGACAGCCCCGUACACAAAAAUGCACAUGCUGUGAGCUCGAUGAGUAGGGCGGGACACGUGGUAUCCUGUCUGAAUAUGGGGGGACCAUCCUCCAAGGCUAAAUACUCCUGACUGACCGAUAGUGAACCAGUACCGUGAGGGAAAGGCGAAAAGAACCCCGGCGAGGGGAGUGAAAAAGAACCUGAAACCGUGUACGUACAAGCAGUGGGAGCACGCUUAGGCGUGUGACUGCGUACCUUUUGUAUAAUGGGUCAGCGACUUAUAUUCUGUAGCAAGGUUAACCGAAUAGGGGAGCCGAAGGGAAACCGAGUCUUAACUGGGCGUUAAGUUGCAGGGUAUAGACCCGAAACCCGGUGAUCUAGCCAUGGGCAGGUUGAAGGUUGGGUAACACUAACUGGAGGACCGAACCGACUAAUGUUGAAAAAUUAGCGGAUGACUUGUGGCUGGGGGUGAAAGGCCAAUCAAACCGGGAGAUAGCUGGUUCUCCCCGAAAGCUAUUUAGGUAGCGCCUCGUGAAUUCAUCUCCGGGGGUAGAGCACUGUUUCGGCAAGGGGGUCAUCCCGACUUACCAACCCGAUGCAAACUGCGAAUACCGGAGAAUGUUAUCACGGGAGACACACGGCGGGUGCUAACGUCCGUCGUGAAGAGGGAAACAACCCAGACCGCCAGCUAAGGUCCCAAAGUCAUGGUUAAGUGGGAAACGAUGUGGGAAGGCCCAGACAGCCAGGAUGUUGGCUUAGAAGCAGCCAUCAUUUAAAGAAAGCGUAAUAGCUCACUGGUCGAGUCGGCCUGCGCGGAAGAUGUAACGGGGCUAAACCAUGCACCGAAGCUGCGGCAGCGACGCUUAUGCGUUGUUGGGUAGGGGAGCGUUCUGUAAGCCUGUGAAGGUGUGCUGUGAGGCAUGCUGGAGGUAUCAGAAGUGCGAAUGCUGACAUAAGUAACGAUAAAGCGGGUGAAAAGCCCGCUCGCCGGAAGACCAAGGGUUCCUGUCCAACGUUAAUCGGGGCAGGGUGAGUCGACCCCUAAGGCGAGGCCGAAAGGCGUAGUCGAUGGGAAACAGGUUAAUAUUCCUGUACUUGGUGUUACUGCGAAGGGGGGACGGAGAAGGCUAUGUUGGCCGGGCGACGGUUGUCCCGGUUUAAGCGUGUAGGCUGGUUUUCCAGGCAAAUCCGGAAAAUCAAGGCUGAGGCGUGAUGACGAGGCACUACGGUGCUGAAGCAACAAAUGCCCUGCUUCCAGGAAAAGCCUCUAAGCAUCAGGUAACAUCAAAUCGUACCCCAAACCGACACAGGUGGUCAGGUAGAGAAUACCAAGGCGCUUGAGAGAACUCGGGUGAAGGAACUAGGCAAAAUGGUGCCGUAACUUCGGGAGAAGGCACGCUGAUAUGUAGGUGAAGUCCCUCGCGGAUGGAGCUGAAAUCAGUCGAAGAUACCAGCUGGCUGCAACUGUUUAUUAAAAACACAGCACUGUGCAAACACGAAAGUGGACGUAUACGGUGUGACGCCUGCCCGGUGCCGGAAGGUUAAUUGAUGGGGUUAGCGGUAACGCGAAGCUCUUGAUCGAAGCCCCGGUAAACGGCGGCCGUAACUAUAACGGUCCUAAGGUAGCGAAAUUCCUUGUCGGGUAAGUUCCGACCUGCACGAAUGGCGUAAUGAUGGCCAGGCUGUCUCCACCCGAGACUCAGUGAAAUUGAACUCGCUGUGAAGAUGCAGUGUACCCGCGGCAAGACGGAAAGACCCCGUGAACCUUUACUAUAGCUUGACACUGAACAUUGAGCCUUGAUGUGUAGGAUAGGUGGGAGGCUUUGAAGUGUGGACGCCAGUCUGCAUGGAGCCGACCUUGAAAUACCACCCUUUAAUGUUUGAUGUUCUAACGUUGACCCGUAAUCCGGGUUGCGGACAGUGUCUGGUGGGUAGUUUGACUGGGGCGGUCUCCUCCUAAAGAGUAACGGAGGAGCACGAAGGUUGGCUAAUCCUGGUCGGACAUCAGGAGGUUAGUGCAAUGGCAUAAGCCAGCUUGACUGCGAGCGUGACGGCGCGAGCAGGUGCGAAAGCAGGUCAUAGUGAUCCGGUGGUUCUGAAUGGAAGGGCCAUCGCUCAACGGAUAAAAGGUACUCCGGGGAUAACAGGCUGAUACCGCCCAAGAGUUCAUAUCGACGGCGGUGUUUGGCACCUCGAUGUCGGCUCAUCACAUCCUGGGGCUGAAGUAGGUCCCAAGGGUAUGGCUGUUCGCCAUUUAAAGUGGUACGCGAGCUGGGUUUAGAACGUCGUGAGACAGUUCGGUCCCUAUCUGCCGUGGGCGCUGGAGAACUGAGGGGGGCUGCUCCUAGUACGAGAGGACCGGAGUGGACGCAUCACUGGUGUUCGGGUUGUCAUGCCAAUGGCACUGCCCGGUAGCUAAAUGCGGAAGAGAUAAGUGCUGAAAGCAUCUAAGCACGAAACUUGCCCCGAGAUGAGUUCUCCCUGACUCCUUGAGAGUCCUGAAGGAACGUUGAAGACGACGACGUUGAUAGGCCGGGUGUGUAAGCGCAGCGAUGCGUUGAGCUAACCGGUACUAAUGAACCGUGAGGCUUAACCUU
This 2904-nucleotide ribosomal RNA is filed under the name Escherichia coli. RNAcentral describes it as "bacterial LSU rRNA". It matches the Rfam family "Bacterial large subunit ribosomal RNA". RNAcentral also lists the same sequence under 1 other name. The record is from RNAcentral. Lineage: Bacteria; Pseudomonadati; Pseudomonadota; Gammaproteobacteria; Enterobacterales; Enterobacteriaceae.